Molecule: ribosomal RNA, 1354 nt
Filed under: Planktothrix mougeotii TK5-1
Lineage: Bacteria; Bacillati; Cyanobacteriota; Cyanophyceae; Oscillatoriales; Microcoleaceae
Description: bacterial SSU rRNA
Rfam family: Bacterial small subunit ribosomal RNA
Source: RNAcentral
AGUGGCGGACGGGUGAGUAACACGUAAGAACCUGCCUCUUGGCCGGGGACAACAGUUGGAAACGACUGCUAAAUCCCGGAUGAGCCGAAAGGUAAAAGAUUAAUCGCCAAGAGAGGGGCUUGCGUCUGAUUAGCUAGUUGGUAGUGUAAGGGACUACCAAGGCGACGAUCAGUAGCUGGUCUGAGAGGAUGAUCAGCCACACUGGGACUGAGACACGGCCCAGACUCCUACGGGAGGCAGCAGUGGGGAAUUUUCCGCAAUGGGCGAAAGCUGACGGAGCAAGACCGCGUGGGGGAGGAAGGUUCUUGGAUUGUCAACCCCUUUUCUCAGGGAAGAAGAAAGUGACGGUACCUGAGGAAGAAGCAUCGGCUAACUCCGUGCCAGCAGCCGCGGUAAUACGGAGGAUGCAAGCGUUAUCCGGAAUGAUUGGGCGUAAAGAGUCCGUAGUGGGCCCUUCAAGUCUGCUGUUAAAGAGCGAGGCUUAACUUCGGAAAAGCAGUGGAAACUGGAGAGCUAGAGUGUAGUAGGGGCAGAGGGAAUUCCUGGUGUAGCGGUGAAAUGCGUAGAGAUCAGGAAGAACACCGGUGGCGAAAGCCUCUGCUGGGCUACAACUGACACUGAGGGACGAAAGCUAGGGGAGCGAAUGGGAUUAGAUACCCCAGUAGUCCUAGCGGUAAACGAUGGAAACUAGGUGUGGCCUGUAUCGACCCGGGCCGUGCCGGAGCAAACGCGUUAAGUUUCCCGCCUGGGGAGUACGCACGCAAGUGUGAAACUCAAAGGAAUUGACGGGGGCCCGCACAAGCGGUGGAGUAUGUGGUUUAAUUCGAUGCAACGCGAAGAACCUUACCAGGACUUGACAUCUCUGGAAUCUCUCUGAAAGGAGAGAGUGCCUUAGGAACCAGAAGACAGGUGCUGCAUGGCUGUCGUCAGCUCGUGUCGUGAGAUGUUGGGUUAAGUCCCGCAACGAGCGCAACCCUCGUCGUUAGUUGCCAUCAUUAAGUUGGGAACUCUAGCGAGACUGCCGGUGACAAACCGGAGGAAGGUGAGGAUGACGUCAAGUCAGCAUGGCCCUUACGUCCUGGGCGACACACGUACUACAAUGCUAAGGACAGAGAGCAGCCAACCCGCGAGGGAGAGCGAAUCUCUUAAACCUUGGCACAGUUCAGAUUGAAGCUUGCAACUCAGCUUCAUGAAGGAGGAAUCGCUAGUAAUCGCAGGUCAGCAUACUGCGGUGAAUCCGUUCCCGGGCCUUGUACACACCGCCCGUCACACCAUGGAAGUGAGCCACGCCCGAAGUCAUUACUCUAACCCCUAGUGGGAGGAGGGUGCCGAAGGCAGGGCUGAUGACUGGGGU